RNAcentral lists this ribosomal RNA (497 nucleotides) under uncultured bacterium. Its description in RNAcentral is "partial 16S ribosomal RNA". It matches the Rfam family "Bacterial small subunit ribosomal RNA", at positions 28 to 507 of the family's 1533-position model. The record is from RNAcentral.
GAUGAACGCUGGCGGCGUGCCUAACACAUGCAAGUCGAGCGAAAGGACGAUAAGCUUGCUUUCUUGAUGUUAGCGGCGGACGGGCGAGUAACACGUGCAUAACCUUCUUAUAUGACUGGGAUAACAUCGGGAAACCGGAGCUAAUACUGGAUAAUACUUUGUACCGCAUGGUUCAAAAGUUCAAGACAGCUUUGCCGAUUCUAAUAGAUGGAUCCGCGCUGCAUUAGCUAGUUGGUAAGGUAACGGCUUACCAAGGCUACGAUGCAUAGCCGACCUGAGAGGAUGAUCGGCCACACUGGAACUGAGACACGGUCCAGACUCCUACGGGAGGCAGCAGUAGGGAAUCUUCCGCAAUGGGCGAAAGCCUGACGGAGCAACGCCGCGUGAGUGAUGAAGGUCUUCGGAUCGUAAAACUCUGUUAUUAGGGAAGAACAUAUGUGUAAGUAACUGUGCACAUCUUGACGGUACCUAAUCAGAAAGCCACGGCUAACUACGUG